GGGAAUGUGGCUCAGUGGUAGAGUGCUUGCCUGGCAUGCAUGAAGCUGCUGGUUUGAUUCCUCAAUACCA
Molecule: transfer RNA, 70 nt
Filed under: Dipodomys ordii (Ord's kangaroo rat)
Lineage: Eukaryota; Metazoa; Chordata; Mammalia; Rodentia; Heteromyidae
Rfam family: tRNA
About the family: Transfer RNA (tRNA) molecules are approximately 80 nucleotides in length.
Source: Rfam by way of RNAcentral